AACGAACGCUGGCGGCAGGCCUAACACAUGCAAGUCGAACGCCGUAGCAAUACGGAGUGGCAGACGGGUGAGUAACACGUGGGAACGUACCCUUCGGUUCGGGAUAACUCAGGGAAACUUGAGCUAAUACCGGAUACGUCCGAGAGGAGAAAGAUUUAUUGCCGAGGGAUCGGCCCGCGUCUGAUUAGCUUGUUGGUGAGGUAACGGCUCACCAAGGCGACGAUCAGUAGCUGGUCNGAGAGGAUGAUCAGCCAC
RNAcentral lists this ribosomal RNA (255 nucleotides) under uncultured bacterium. Its description in RNAcentral is "partial 16S ribosomal RNA". It matches the Rfam family "Bacterial small subunit ribosomal RNA", at positions 29 to 311 of the family's 1533-position model. The record is from RNAcentral.